UCCAGCAAACAUUGUAUUGGUUCACUGCGUAUUUGCAAAGAUGGGGGAGGUUUAAUAAUUCCGUCAACCAACAAGUGAGUAAACUCAUUUGAUGCCCCUAUUUCAGCAGCAUGAAGUGUAGUUAACUGCCCAGUUUUUGUUGCAUUAACCAUUCCAUGGAAGCAGCCUGAUGGUCUUGUGCUGAAUGGUACAAUCAUAAUUGGCUUGAUGGAGGGAGCUUCAAAAGAAAUCAAUGCUAAAAUCUCAUUCAUAGCACAUGCAGCAAUAGGAGGCCUAUAGUCAGGCAGAACAAAAAAGGACACCUGCCAAAAAUUAACAGGCUUGAAUUUAGCUUGGAUGUGGCUCCAUAAGCAGCUUUUUAAAAUUUGAUUUAGUUGCAAGGAAUAAUGUUCCAUGUCAUAAAAAAUAGGCCAAAAAUAUAUUCGGUUCUUCAUUAGCAAAUGAUCAUCAAAGAUGUCAAAGCCAAUAAAAAGCCUUUUCUGUAGGUAAUGAAAUACCACAAGUUGUUCCAUUAUUAGCAUGAACUUACAGUGAUAGUCAAAUGGUAUAAGCUAAUUUUGAGCAUUACAUCCAUGAAAAGAAGGGGAGCCCUGGCGCAGCGGUAAAGUGAAUCUUGCAGAAAUGCAGAAAAAGGCUGCAUACAAAAGAUCGGAAGUGGUCGGUGUCAUGGGAGUAAGUCUGACAGUAAGAAUGGGGGGUACGUAGGAGGAGGCAAGAUCGUAGCUACGGUGAGUUUGUGCACGCAAGAUUUACGAGUUCAGGCCCUUUUCGUAGGAAGUAAUAGCCCUACGUCUCGGUGCCCGGAGGCUUGGUCGACUAGAUUAUGCGUGAGAGUUACAGGGGUGCGAACCCUUGUGCCAGAGGAGGGGGUGGCUUAUAUAGAGUACGCCAGGACCCCAGCCAUCCCACGUUACACAGGGUUCAAUAUACAUUAAGACAGGGCGUUACUGGUAACGCCAGCUGUAAAGAGCUAUAAAUGAUCUUCAAUACUUCGGAGUGAAUGCCUGACCGUUGCCACCCUGAGUGGCUUUAGACCUUCUCCUCUCCGAGUGAUUCUUCUUGUGGUCGAGUGACUCUAUCUUGGUCGAAUGGAAUUUGGACAUCCCAGUAGUAUACCUGGUCGAGUGGGAUAUCCAAUGUGACUUCAGUCGGUAUCUUCUAUUGUACUUGGAAUGUCUUUAACUCCAAGGCAGUGUCCUUGGGUAGGGCGUCUAGGUCAGGCCUAUGACCCUACCCUAGGUACAUGUCAUCGUCAUUAGCCCCCGAAUGGAUUGAGGCCCGAGUGAAGAAGUGUUGAAGUUCAUUCCAACUCAAUUCUAUGCUUCGGAAGCAUCCCACUGGAGUCUGGGAAUCUUGCUAAAGCUUCAACCUUGUUUCAGUUGCCUCGAUCGAUUCAGUGGUCGUCGAGUGAACUAAAUUGAUAAACUUCGAGUGUUGUUAUGGUGUAAGAUCUUCGGUGCGAUUGGUUGCUCUGCGGUCCCGGAUCUCACGGGAUUCGAAAUUUUGGAGAAGCGCGCGAGACGGGGCGUGCCGCGGUAAUCGGGGUUCUCGGGCGCGCGACUGUUGCGGGAUUUGAUGGGAUCGCUCGGGCCCACGGGUCAGCCACUCGGAAGUAGGCCCAUAAAAGGCGUCGACACCGAUGCGUUGCACAGUGCGCCCCAAUCAAUUUCUUCUUCCUCUGCUUCCCCACCACUUCCUCCUCCGCUCUCGUCGUCUCCGCUAGGCCCGUGCGCACUCUGCCGCCAUGGGGAAGGACAAGACGGCGGCCCUGGAGCGUUCGAAGAAGGUGGCGACGGCGGCGAAGGGCAAGAAGAUGGGUCGGGGGUCGUCGUCAUGGUCCGGUCAGCCGCCUGGAUGGAUCCAGGGGGACUGGACUCGCUCCACGAUCUCAAAAGAAGACUUGGAGGAUCUAGCCAGCGUGGGCUUGAUUGCUCAUGGAUCUUGGAGGCUGCCGGGGAACGAGUCCGAACCUCAGUCACAGGAGGGUGAGUGCGUCCUCCUUGCAACCCAUGUCGACCGUGGUUUCUCUCUGCCUCCGCAUCCUUUUUUCUGGGGCUUCUUGAACUUUUUCGGUGCCCAAAUCCACCAUUUCCCUCCAAAAACCAUCACGUACCUCACCGCUUUCAUCUCGAUGUGUGAAAAUUUCUUGGGUUGUCAACCACACUGGGGUCUGUUUAAGCAUAUCUUCACUUGUCGAUCUCAGUUGGUGAAGAAAGCCAAUCCGACUGACAAAAAGACGCAUGUGCUUUAGUUGUGCGGGGGUUUAGGGAUUCAAACCAAAGGUAGGAGUGCUUUUCCUUCCAUUACCCUUCCCGAGUUAGUCCGCGAGUGGUAGUCGACCUGGUUCUAUUGCAAGGACAUCCCGACUCCGGGUGAGUCGACCGGUCUUCCUCCUUUCACCAUGGAGCGACCCCGCCUACCUUCUUUGCAGACUGUGACUCUAGAGGAGAAAGGCGAGGUUUCUCAUCUGGUCGACCAUGUUGUCAAGUUAGUCCGGGAUGGGGUGACUGGCAUGGACUUGCUGGAAGUGUUCCUCAGUCGACGUAUCCAGCCUCUCCAAGCUCGCGACCAUCCGAUGUGGAUGUAUUCGGGCGUUGAUGACACCGCUCUGGUCCACCUAGAGGAGGUCGCCGAGGAGACGGUGGCUCAGUGGUUGUGAAGCAUAACUGGGAACAAGGACAACCCCAGGGGGUCCAGGAGAGUUCGCCCAUUCGAUGCCGACCAUGAGCCGGACAAGGUUUGGACCUUAUUGCAGAGUGGUUUCUUAUUCCAAUCUGUAAUUGCUCUUGAAUCUGACCGAUGCUUGCUAAACUCACUGCUUGCAGAUUUACACCGGGAUGUACACGAUCCCAAAUGGCAAGCAACACUAGGAAGGAGGGGAAAGCACGAGCGAGAGUGCCGACUGGGAGUCUGGAACCGAUGGUGAAGAUAACAGCGAUGACUUGAGCAGUGGCGAAGAGGUUGACUCGCCACCCCGCUCGGAGCGUUGUUCCAAAAAGUCCCACGAUCCCGCAGGUGGGCGUGGCAAGGCAGCUCCGUCAAACACGCAAGUAUCCAAGCGCACUCGGAGCUCAACUCCAGAACCAUCGGAGAAGGCUGCUAAGCAGCCCAGGGUUGCUCCAGUGAAGCCUCGGAAGGCUCUGUCUAAGAUCAAGGUGGACGUUCUUGUUGCCUCGGCGUAAGUGUUCCUCUUCUCUAUUUUUCUUUGCUCGGGAACUUCUAUGUUGUUGUCGACUCUUUUUCUUGUUUGGCCGAUUGAGUUUUGGAAUUCUUAGCGUCGCUACUUCUAGGACGUCCAUGAAUAUUGACAAGGAGCAAGAUGACGAGGAAACUGCAGACGCGGCCACAUCUCAGGCAGGUACAGCUCCACAGUUAUGUUCUUGCUUUGCCAAUUGUUUUGACGGUCGACUGAAACAUUAUGGUCGAAUGUUUUGCAGCCCCGCCAAAUGUUAUCGAACAUCCAGAUGACGACGACCAUGAAGACGUGCCUCAGAAGAACACAGGAAGAAAGAGCAGGAUUUCGAGCAGGAGGGCGCCUGCCAGCAAAGUGCCUUAGUCGUCGUCAGCGCCAGAAGCAGUCAUCUAGCAAUCUGGAGAUCCAACUCGGGCUUCUAUUUCUUUUGCUGAUCCUGUGUCGACUGAUCAUCCUUCGACGUCGACUUCUCAAGUUCUUGCUCCGUUUGUGCAACUCCAUGCUUCAGAUCCCUUGGCUGCUCCAUCUGUUCCACCAACUUUGUUCUUUGUUACCCAUCAUGUCCCAGAGGACCAAGUAAGCGCCACUAAGGAAGCUAUACGCCAAGCAGGCCUUAUGAUGGAGCAAAUGAAGGUGGUGCACGAGGCUAGCAAGGCUGCUUACGAUGCCAGCUCAGCCCUUCAAUCAAUGUCUAGGUGAAGUUAAUUUCUGACUGGUCUUUUAGCUUGAUCUUUGCUCUGUUAGGAUAUGGUACUUGAAAACUACUGCUUUAUUAUUCGUAAGAUGUCCGUGGAUGAGCGUUUUGGAACCUUUAAUGUGCAUCUAUCAUGAUUCUGUGUCUUGCAUCCACUCACCCACUAGGUGUUUUAACUUCUGCUGUGUAGCUCUUUUCACUUGAGUCGACCAUGUCGCGUCGGGUGAACUCUUGAAUCAGUGGGGGCACGCAGAGUGCACCCACUGGGUGUAGUCCCCGAGACUGCGGUCGACUACGGGCAGUCGGCGGUGGUCUGAGCAUAAAUGUUGUUGUCGUUUUACUCCUUCCACUCAGACUGGACGGGCCAUGUCGAGUGGAAGUCGAACCAGUGGGGGCACGCCAAGUGCACCCACUGGGUGUAGUCCUCGAGACUACUGUUGAAUGUUUGAUUCGGCAGUAGUCUUAGAACUCUUUUUGCCGUAAUAACUUGAACUUGUAUCUUAUCGCUCGGAAGCAAUCGAUCUUUGUUUCUGUCGACUGACAUGUCUUAUUUGUUGACUGCAGAAAUCUUGUGAGCUCGGGGCCCAGUUCGCUGAAUUGGAGAGGAAACAAAUUCAGCUCAACCUUCACCUGGAACUGGCCAAGCAGAGUUUGCAAAAGGCUAACGAUGAAGCAACUGCCAUGGGAGGUAAUAACUUAUCGACUGUUUGCCUUGUCACUUUUUCUUUUCAUCUUUUGAACCGAGUGACUCCACUCGAACAGAUGCACGUAGUGAAAACAGACAACUCCAAGCUCGUCUGAAGAAUGUUAUUUCUUUAGACAAAAUGAAGCAGGCUCUGGAGCAGAAGGACCUCGACCUUGCAGCAUCACAGAAGAUGGCGCGAGAGAAAACUGAACUUGCUGAUACAAAGCUGGCUUUAGUCGGCAAGUUGGAAGAAGAAAAUGCCAAGUUGAAGACUGCCAUUGAUGAAGCAAACAAAUAAGUCGUGUAGCUGAAGAAGGACAAAGUGGCCUCGACCGACAAAGUCGGUGAUCUCACUCGGAGGAGAGACGAAUUGGAGACUUAUCUGGGAGGCCUUGCCAAAAAUAUGUUCCUUAUGCUCGAAGGUACUUUUCCUUGUUCGGCUGAUUUGCAACUUCCGACUCAUCAUAUGAUUGUCAACUCAUUAUUUUUCUGUGCAUGCAGAAUUCUGUCAAAAUUUUGAGGAAGAGACUCGGCGAAUUGAGACGAAUCUGGACCCCAUAAACUCCCCCGUCAAGGAUGAAGCCGCGAUGAACAUGCUGUGACUGGAAUCCCGCCUCGCUAGUGUUAUGGAUUACCUUGCUCGUCUGAAAGUGGCGGUGUCGCGGAUCGUCACGGAGCUCUGGCCAGUUGUGACAUUCCAGAAUGACCUCGAGUAUCUGAUGACUCAACUCAAUGAAAUCCCUGGUCGAGUGCAAGCAUGGAAGAAGUCAUCUGCUCGGUGCGGCGCUGACGUGGCUCUGUCUCUGGUCCGUGACCAUUGCAAGGAAGUUAAAGAAGAGAAGCUGGCAGCUCUCAAAGUCGCCAAUACCAAGAAGCUUUAGUUCCAGUCCUUCAUGUGGACCUUCGUCGAUGCUUCCACUCGUAUUGCAGAUGGAAUUGACCUGGAUGAGUUCGUCGAGCCAGCUCGCCCUCCUCCUGCAGAGUGAAAAACUUGAUGCCUUGACUUUAUUUGCCUCGGAAUGCCAAGUGAUUUUGUAACAGUUAAACUCUUUCGGGCCUGACAUCCGUGCACUUCUGUUCGCGGUUCUAAACCUUCAUGGAUUUAUCUGAACUUCGUUUUUCUUUUGAAUAUGGUUGCUUUGUCUUCAUCACUUUCGAAUUUCUUGACUCCGAGUGAAACUUGACUCUUCGCUCGGAAUAGACGUUGUACUUGUGGUGCAGCUCUGAGUGCAACCAUACAUUGUACUUGUGGCGCAGCUCUGAGUGCAACCAUACAUUGUACUUGUGGCGCAGCUCAGAGCACGGCCAUAUGUUGUAUUCGUGGCGCAACUCUUAGUAUGCAGCCAAGCUAUUGAGUGGGGGGUUGCUCUCCACUCGACGUAGUUUUGUAACUUAGGCGAGUGCGGGAUCACAGCUAAGCCUCCGAGUGGGAGGAUGGCUCUCCACUCGGAGUAGUUUUGUAACUUAGCCGAGUACGGGGUCGCAGCUAAGUCCCCGAGUGGGAGGAUUGCUCCCCACUCGGAGUAGUUUUGUAACUUAGCCGAGUACGGGGUCGCAGCUAAGUCCCCGAGUGGGAGGAUUGCUCCCCACUCGGAGUAGUUUUGUAACUUAGGUGAGUACGGGGUCGCAGCUAAGUCCCCGAGUGGGAGGAUUGCUCUCCACUCGGAGUAGUUUUGUAACUUAGGCGAGUACGGGGUCGCAGCUCAGCCCCCAAAUGAGAGGAUUGCUCUUCACUCGGAAGAGUUUUGUAACUUAGGCGAGUACGGGGUCGCAGCUAAGCCCCCGAGUGGGAGGAUUGCUCUCCACUCAGAGUAUUUUUGUAACUUAGGCGAGUACGGGAUCGUAGCUAAGCCUCCGAGUGGGAGGAUGGCUCUCCACUCGAAGUAGUUUUGUAACUUAGGUGAGUACGAGGUCGCAGCUAAGUCCCCGAGUGGGAGGAUUGCUCUCCACUCGGAGUAGUUUUGUAACUUAGGCGAGUACGGGGUUGCAGCUAAGUCUCCGAGUGGGAGGAUUGCUCUCCUCGCGAAGUAGUUUUGUAACUUAGGCGAGUAUGGGGUCACAGCUAAGCCCCCGGGUGAGAGGAUCGCUCUCCACUCGGAGUGUUUUUGAAACUUAGGCAAAUCGGGUUCGUGGCUAAGCCCCUGAGUGAGAGGGUUGCUCUUCACUCGGAAUGUUUUUGAAACUUAGGCGAAUCGGUUCGCGGCUAAGCCUCCGAGUGAGAGGGUUGCGCUUCACUCAGAGUGUUUUUGAAACUUAGGCGAAUCAGGUUCGUGGCUAAGCCACCCAGUGGGGGAUUUGAACACAUAUGCUUAAGGGGUAACAAUGAUUAAGAUACUGCAAAAAUCUAGUCUUUGAUAAGCCAACUGAAGGAUUCUUAUUACAACGAUCGAUCCGAGUGCUUAGGUAUAAAACCGGCGGAGCAGCUCCGCAUUCCACGAGCGUGGCUCGUCUUCUUUCUUGGCUACGUUGUAGAGGUGAUACGCUCCAUUGUGGAGCACCUUGGUGAUGAUGAAGGGGCCUUCCCAGGCUGGAGCGAGCUUGUGAGGCCGUUUCUGGUGCACUCGGAGCACAAGGUCUCCUUCCUGAAAUGCUCGACCUCUGACAUUUCGGGCAUGGAAUUGACGCAGGUCUUGUUGAUAGAUGGUCGACCGGAUCAGGGCCAUCUCUCGUUCCUCCUCUAGGAGGUCAACUACAUCCUGUCGUGCCUGUUCUGCUUCAGCUUCUGAGAAGAGUUCCACUCGGGGGGGCACUGUGCAGUAAAUCACUCGAAAGCAUAGCUUCAGCACCAUACACCAUGAAGAAAGGAGUUUGGUCAGUCGACCAGUUGGGAGUUGUUCUCAGACCCCAUAGGAAAGAUGGCAAUUCGGUCACCCAAGCUCCAGCGGCGUGCUUGAGAUCGCGCAUCAAUCGGGGUUUCAGCCCUUGAAGGAUCAAACCAUUCGCCCUUCUGUCUGCCCAUUCGACUGUGGGUGCGCGACAGAUGCGUAAUCGGCCCGAGUGCCUUGGGAAGCACAAAACGCUCUAAACUCAUCAGAAUCAAAGUUGGAACCGUCAUCUGUGAUAAUGCUGUGAGGGACUCCAUAUCUGAAUAUCAGCUCUCUGAUGAAACUAAUGGCAGUGCUUGAAUCAAGAUUCUUGAUAGGCUUGGCUUCGAUCCAUUUGGUGAACUUGUCAACUGCCACGAGCAAAUGAGUAAAGCCACUUCUGCCGGUCAUGAAAGGUCCGACCAUGUCCAACCCCCAAACUGCAAACGGCCAGAUGAGUGGAAUAGUCUUCAAGGCAAAUGCAGGCUUGUGAGACAUGUUUGAGUAGAACUAGCAGCCUUCGCACUUGUCGACUAUAUCUUUAGCCAUCUCAUUUGCACGCGGCCAGUAAAAACCUGCUCGGUAUGCUUUGGCCACGAUGGUCCGAGAGGACGCAUGGGGACCAUAGGUCCCCGAGUGGAUCUCAUUUAGGAUCAUUCGACCUUCUUCUGGGGAGAUGUAGCGCUGGGCAACUCCGGUAACGCUUUCUCUGUAAAGUUGUCCAGCUAUUAUGGUGAAGGCUUCGGAUCGGCAGAUGAUCUAGCGGGACUCAUCUGCAUCCUCUGGGAGUUCCUGCCUAACCAGGUAUGCUAUGUAUGGCACUGUCCAGUCGGGGGUGAUCACCAAAACCUCCAUGAUCAGGUCGACCACAGCCGGGACUUUGAUCUCAGUCGGAUUGGUUAAGCUUAUCGGUUGUGGGAGCUCCUCUGUAAAAGGGUCUUCUUGAACUGACGGGGUGUGGAGAUGCUCAAGAACACAUUGCUAGGUAUAGGUUUCCGAGUGGAACCUAACUUUGCCAAAUCAUCAGCAGCUUGAUUCUUGAUUCAGGGUAUGUGGCAGAGCUCUAACCCCUCAAACUUCUUCUCCUGCUUUCUUACUGCAUUACAAUAACUAGUCAUAGCUGGGCUCCUUAUAUCCCACUCCUUCAUCACUUGGUUGACCACUAAAUCUGAGUUCCGUAAACCAUCAGGCGUCGAACGCCGAGUGAGAUGGCCAUACGCAAUCCAUACAGAAGUGCCUCAUAUUCAUCUUCAUUGUUGGAAGAAUCAAAGUGAAUCUGGAGGACAUAACUGAGCUUGUCGCCUCUUGGGGAUACCAGGACCACUCCAGCACCAGAACCAUUCAACAUUUUGGACCCAUCGAGUCGGUUGCUGUUGUUCAAUCCACUCGGCGAGGAAAUCUGCUAUUGCUUGAGACUUGAUUGCUUUCUUUGCCUCGAACUUGAUAUCCAACGGAAGGAGUUCAAUCGCCCACUUCGCAACUCGACCAGUUGCAUCUUUAUUGUUCAGAAUUUCUGACAAUGGGGCAUCGCUGACGACUGAGACCGAGUGGUCCAUGAACUACUGUGCAAGUUUCUUCGUGGUCAUGUAAAUUCCAUAAACCAACUUCUGAUAAUGUGGAUAUCUUUGCUUGGACGGAGUCAAGACUUCAGAAAUAUAGUACACUAGACAUUGAACUUUGUAGGCUUUGCCUUCUUCUUCCUGCACGAUUGUGAGCACUGUGCUGACAACCUGUCCAGUGGCUGCGAUAUACAGUAGUAAAGGCUCUUUGCUGAUUGGGGCAGCAAGCACCGGCUGGGUGGAAAGCAUGGCUUUGAGCUCUACAAAUGCUGCUUUGGCUUCAGGGGUCCACUUGAACUUAUCAUAAUUCUUCAUCCGUCUGUAAAGAGGCAAUGCCUUUUCACCGAGACGAGAGAUGAAUCGACUCAAUCCAGCCAAACAACCAGUAAGCUUCUGAACAUCGUGUACACGCACGGGACUUUUCAUUCGGAGAAUUGCUCCAACCUUUUCUGGGUUUACAUCGAUCCCUCAUUCGGAAACAAGGAAACCGAGUAACUUUCCGCCCGGGACUCCGAAUGUGCACUUUGAUGGAUUGAGCUUGAUAUCAUAUCUUCUUAAGUUAGCAAAGGUUUCAGCGAGGUCAGUCAAUAGGUCGGAACCUUUGCGUGACUUGACCACGAUAUCAUCCAUGUAUGCUUCCAUGUUCCGACUGAUUUGAGUGAGCAGGCACUUCUGAAUCAUGCGCAUGAACAUGGCGCCAGCAUUCUUGAGACCGAAAGGCAUGGAAACAUAGCAAAAACACCCGAAUGGGGUGAUGAAGGCUAUUUUUAUUUUGUCGGGUCCAUACAGUCAGAUCUGAUGGUACCCGGAAUACGCAUCCAAAAAGGACAAACGCUCACACCCCGCAGUUGAGUUGACAAUCCGAUCGAUGCAGGGGAGAGGGAAAUGAUCUUUCGGGCAGGCCCGAUUGAUGUGCUUGAAAUCGAUACACAUACAAAGUGAAUCAUCUAUCUUGGGAACCAUGGCAACAUUGGCGAGCCACUCGGAGUGGUAUAUCUCACGGAUGAAUUCAGCUGCCAGAAGCCGAGCCACCUCCUCGCCAAUUGCCUUCCUUUUCUCCACGGCGGACCGACGGAGAUGCUCUUUGACGGGUUUUGCUUUUGGGUCGACACGCAAACGAUGCUCAGCCAGUCCCCUGGGUAGACCCGGCAUGUCAGAUGGUUUCCAUGCAAAGAUGUCCCAAUUCUCACGGAGGAACUGGAUGAGUGCUUCUUCCUAUUUGCUGUCGAGUGUUGUUGAGAUGUGGGUCGGAGAAGCAUUGGGAUCAGUUGGGCGAAUAUGGACAGGCUUUGUUUCACCAGCCGACUGAAAUGCAGACUCGGAAGCAAGCUUCUUAGCUCGCAACAAAUCACUCGGAUCUGCAUUCUUGUUGUACUCUUCCAUUUCUACUGCUGCCAUUUGCUCAUAGGCAAUCUUCGAGCCUUUCUGGAGGCACUCUUCUGCCCUUUGUCGAUUCCCCUGUGACUGUGAUCAUCCCCUGGGGCCAGGCAUCUUCAACUUGAGGUACACGUAACAUGGCCGAGCCAUGAAACGAGCAUAUGCAGUCCUGCCCAGAAUAGCAUGAUAGGCGCUGUGAAAAUCCACCACCUCAAAUGUCAACUUUUCUUUACGAUAAUUCUUUGAAUCACCGAAAACCACGUCAAGAGUGAUCUGACCGAGUGAACCGGCUUUCUUUCCUGGGAUGACUCCAUGGAAUCUCAUGUUGCUCUCGCUGAGCUUGGACAUCGGAAUGCCCAUCCCUCGGAGGGUCUCAGCAUACAGAAUGUUCAAUCCACUGCCACCGUCCAUCAGAACCUUGGUCAGUCGGGUGCCCCCAACGACUGGGUCGACCACCAACACUUGCCGCCCGGGGGUAGCAACGUGCGCUGGGUGAUCGGACUGGUCAAAUGUAAUGGGAGUCUUCGACCACUUUAAAUAUGUCGUAGUUGCCAGAGCAACCAUGUUCACUUCUCGAUUGAUAACUUCCAGUCGACUUUUGCUCUCAACGUCAGCAAAAAUCACUAAAGUGGCAGUGACAUUAGGGUAACCAUCAUCUUCCUCUUUGUCCUAUUCCAUAUCAGAUUCCUUCACUUUUUCGCUGGGCUGACCCUCUUGGAAGCUCUGAAUCAGGAGUUGACACUGUCGAGUGGUAUGCUUGGGAUAAAUCCAGUUACCCUCUUCAUCUUUUUUGGUGUGUAUGUGGCACGGCAAAUCAAGAACAUCAUUUCCCGCUUGAUCUUUUACUUUUUUGGGGAUCCAAUGCCCUUUCGGAUUUCCCUUGAACUUCCCUUGAUUCACAACUGCGGCUUCAGCAGGACCUGCAGUUUCAGAUUUGCGCUUCUGCUUCCGACUGAAUUUCCUCCUCCGGUGUCCUGGGCAACUGGUUUGUUCUUGCUACUGCAGAGUCGGUCUUCCUCUUCGCCGUUAGUGUACCGAGCGGCUAUUUCCAUCAUUCGGGCCAGGGUCAUAUCACCUAUCCGACCGAAUUUCAGGUCGAGCUCUCUGUACCGAACACCCUCUUUGAAGGCGCAAACUACUUGGUGUUGCGACACAUUUUCCACUGUAUGAUGAAGGUAGUCCACCUCUGAAUGUAAUCUCUCAAGGUCUCAUUCGGUUUCUGAACACAAUGUUGUAACUCAGUCAGCCCGGCAGGUUGCUUGCAGGUGCCCUCGAAUGUUUUAAUGAACACUCGGGCCAACUCUUCCCAACUGAAACUACUUCCAGGGGCCAACUGAUUCAACCAAGCUCUGGCUGAGCCCUCCAGCAUCAAAGGGAGGUGUUUCAUGGCCACAUCAUCGUUGUCACCGCCAAUCUACACUGCCACUCGGUAAUCUUCCAGCCAAGUGUCAGGCUUCGACUCACCAGUGAACUUACUCACAUUCGUCGCCAACCUGGAGUUGGGAGGGAUCUCAGCAACUCUGAUGGCUCUACUAAAACAUUCGGGCCCAGAAACAUGCACUCUGCUUCCAAUCGGACGAUCUCUGUCCUGUCCCUCUAUGUGUGCCCGGCCUUUGUCGACCAGACAUUGUACGAGAACUGAUCUUGCAUCAAACUCGGGCUCUCUUGGGUCGACUGGAGCUCUCCGCUCAUCACCAUACGGGCGCAUGUCAUCAUAUCACCGGGGCGCGUACGAUCCGCCCCUCGGAGGGGGCGUAGGCACUCGACGGCGGUCAUCACGGCCGAAUCAAUGAUCAUACGGCCCCUGGCCUCUAUCCAGGUGCUGAUCCUGGCGGUGCCCACGAUCCUCAUGCCGUGGAGGUGAUCUUGGACUAUGAGCCGACUGAACUGUGUCUGCAACUACAGAUCUGCUAUGGAUCCUAUUGCGCGACUGAGAAACGGUAGAGUUUUGUUCACCCGCUGCUCGGAGCAGCACUCGGAUUUCCAGCAAACCUCUACCAGCCUCUGAACGAGGUGGAUGAAUCCACUCUGCUAUACGGGUUGCAGCUGCAAGAUUCUGGAUCGGUGUGCGAUAUACCUGAGGUUCAGGCGAGAACAACUGACGAUGACGUCAACUGGAUUCAGGGAUCUGCCAACGAGCGCGUUCGUUGAGUGAAUGUUGGAGAUUCUCCAGACGCGCGCGCUCAGCCAGGGUGGCCAGACGCGUAGCCUCCAAGGCCCGAGCCUCAGAGGUCUCUCCGAUGAUGGGGUGUGGAGCGCCUCCACGUUACAACGAUGUAGCUCCUCCCUUUGCUCCGAAGUGAGGGUUUCGGGGUGAUAUUCGUCGUGACCGUGUGACGGGCCGCCGCCGCCACUGCGACGGGAACCAAACGGGCUGCACGGCGUAUCGACCAUCAUGACUUCCGCCGCAGGGUCGCUGCUCCCGCACUUGGACAGGGUCUCAACGGAACUAGUCGACAGGUCGAAUAGUCCGUAGAGAGAUUCGUCGGGCUCAAUUGCCGCGAUGAAUCAAUGUUAAUCCUAUUUGGGGUAAGAUUUGGAAAUUACCUUUUCCAACAAAGGUGAAAUUUUCAUUUGGUGCACAUUGCAUGGCACUCUACCUUGUCAGGCUACGCUUGUGAAUAGACACCUGAAAGUCACGCCAUCUGCCCAUCCCGUUCUAAUGUGCCAGAGGAUACAAAGCAUAUGUUGUUUUUUGUUAGAAAGCUAAGGAGGUUCGGCAUAAGUUGGGAUUAGAUGAGGUGAUCAACAAAGCUUGUGUUAUUGAUCGUGCAGGAGAGGCAGUCCUUGAAUAUUUACUUCUUAUGCGAGAACAUGAACGCGCUUUAUUGGGCUUCCAGAACGCCUACAAACUAAUCACUAUUACUACUUGAUACUUAUGGUGGGAUAGACGUAGGCUAGCCCACGAACGAAAGUUUCAAGAUGCUCAACAAACUUCUAUGGGAAUUCAUGCUUUAGCGACAAACUUUGUUAAUGCUUUCUCACCUAAUGCAAUCGGUAAAAGAGCAGGAUGGACUAGACCUCCAAUGGGUUUUGUGAAGCCGAAUGUGGAUGCAUCUUUUGAUCAUGACCUGCUUACGGGCACAGCUGGUGCUAUUAUCAGAUAUGACAAAGGAAAAUUCAUUGUUGGCGGAAACUGGAAGAUUGAUUGGUGUGUUGAUGUCCUAACGGUAGAAGCUUAGGCUCCAAGACUCGGAUUAUCUCUUGCAAAUAAGGCGGGUUGCAAUCGCCUUGUCAUUAAUUCUGACAAUAUGGAAGUCACUGAUACCAUGAAGAAUGGAGGAAGCAGGAGCAACGGCGGCAGUUUUUGAUGAUUGUUAUUUUUUAGCCUGUGAUUUUCCUCUCACUGGUUUUGAGCAUUGUAAUAGGGAAGCGAACAAGUUAGCUCAACGAACUUGUCAGAUUAGCUAGAUUUUCUGAGACAAAAGGGAUGGUUUGAGGAGCCUUUGGUUGAAAUUCUACAAACUCUAAUAGAUGAUGUAACCAUUAUUUCUAAUUAAUAAAGGUGGUUAUUGAAAAAAUACUUUUUGAGGUACCUAUAGUGUUGGGUAACGUAGUAUUUCAAAGAAAAUCCUACGAUCACGCAAGAUCUAUCUAGGAGAAGCAUAGCAAUGAGCAGGGAGAGUGUGUCCACGUACCUUCGUAGACCGAAAGCAGAAGCGUUUAGUAACGCGGUUGAUGUAGUCGAACGUCUUCAUGAUCCAACCGAUCCAAGUACCGAACGCACGGCACCUCCGCGAUCUGCACACGUUCAGCUCGGUGACGUCCCUCGAACUCUUGAUCCAGUUGAGGCCGAGGGAGAGUUCCAUCAGCACGACGGCGUGGUGAUGGUGAUGAUGAAGUUACCGGCGCAGGGCUUCGCCUAAGCACUGCGACAAUAUGACCGAGGUGUGUAACUGUGGAGGGGGGCACCGCACACGGCUAAGAGAUUGUCUGUUGUGCCUUUGGGGUGCUCCCCUGCCCCCGUAUAUAAAGGAGGGGAGGAGGAGGCCGGCCAACAAGGGGCGCGCCAGGAAGGGGGGAGUCCUACUAGGACUCCAAUCCUAGUAGGAUUCGGCCCCACCCUUUUUUCCUUCUACUAGAGGGGGGAAAGGGGAAGGAGAGGGAGUAGGAGAAGGAAAGGGGGGUGGCGCCCCCUUCCCAAGUCCAAUUCGGCCUCCUCCCUUGUGGGGGGCGCACCAGCCCCUUGUGGGCUGGUUAGCUUCCCUCCUAUGGCCCAUAAGGCCCAUAUCUUUCCCCGGGGGGUUCCGGUAACCUCCCGGUACUCCGAAAAAAUGCACGAACCACCCGGAACCAUUCCGAUGUCCAAAUGUAAUCUUCCAAUAUAUGAAUCUUUAUCUCUCGACCAAUUCGAGACUCAUUGUCAUGUCCGUGAUCUCAUCCGGGACUCCUAACAAACUUCGGUUCAUCAAAUCACAUAACUCAUAAUACAAAUCGUCAUCGAACGUUAAGCGUGCGGACCCUACGGGUUUGAGAACUAUGUAGACAUGACCGAGACAAAUCCUAAUCUCGAUUUAUGCCAACUCAACAAACACCUUCGGAGAUACCUGUAGAGCAUCUUUAUAAUCACCCAGUUAUGUUGUGACGUUUGAUAGCACACAAGGUGUUCCUCCGGUAUUCGGGAGUUGCAUAAUCUCAUAGUCAGAGGAGCAUGUAUAAGUCAUGAUGAAAGCAAUAGCAAUAAAACUAAACGAUCAUUAUGCUAAGCUAACAGAUGGGUCUUGUCCAUCACAUCAUUCUCUAAUGAUGUGAUCAUGUUCAUCAAAUGACAACACAUGUCUAUGGUCAGGAAACAUAACCAUCUUUGAUUAAUGAGCUAUUCAAGUAGAGGCAUACUAGGGACACUCUGUUUUGUCUAUGUAUUCACACAUGUACUAAGUUUCCGGUUAAUACAAUUCUAGCAUGAAUAAUAAAUAUUUAUCAUGAUAUAAGGAAAUAUAAAUAACAACUUUAUUAUUGCCUCUAGGGCAUAUUUUCUUCAGUCUCCCACUUGCACUAGAGUCAUAAUCUAGUUCACAUCGCCAUGUGAUUUAACACAAAUAGUUCACAUCACCAUGUAAUUAGUUCGCAUCACCAUGUCACUAAUACCCAAAGGGUUUUACUAGAGUCAAUAAUCUAGUUCACAUCGCUAUGUGAUUAACACCCAAAGAGUACUAAGGUGUGAUCAUGUUUUGCUUGUGAGAGAAGCUUAGUCAAUGGGUUUGUCACAUUCAGAGCCAUAUGUAUUUUGCAAAUUUUCUAUGUCUACAAUGCUCUGUAUGGAGCUACUCUAGCUAAUUGCUCCCACUUUCAAUAUGUAUCCAGAUUGAGACUCAUAGUCAUCCGGAUCGGUGUAAAAGCUUGCAUCGGCGUAACUCUUUACGACAAACUCUUUAUCACCUCCAUAACCGAGAAAUAUCUCCUUAGUCUUCUAAGGAUAAACCUAUGGCUGAGGCAUAGGGAAUGACUUUCAUUCUCUUUCUAUUUUCUGUCGUGGUCGUGUUUUGAGUCUUACUCAACUUUACACCUUGCAAUACAGGCAAGAUCUCCUUCUUUGACUGUUCCAUUUUGAACUACUUCAAAAUCUUGUCAAGGUAUCUACUCAUUGAAAAACUUAUCAAGCGUCUUGAUCUAUCUCUAUAGAUCUUGAUGCUCAAUAUGUAAGCGGCUUCACCGGGGUCUUUCUUUGAAAAACUCCUUUCAAACACUCCUUUCCAGAAAAUUCUACAUCAUUUCCGAUCAACCAUAUGUCAUUUACAUAUACUUAUGAGAAAGGCUGUAGUGCUCCCACACACUUUAUUGUAAAUACAGGCUUCACUGCAAGUCUGUAUAAGACUAUAUGCUUUGAUCAACUCAUCAAAGUGUAUAUUCCAACUCCGAGAUGCUUGCACCAGUCCAUAGAUGGAUCGCUGGAGCUUGCACAUUCUGUUAGCACCUUUAGGAUUGACAAAACCUUAUUGUUGCAUCAUAUACAACUCUUCCAUUAAGGUAUGCAGUCUUGACAUCCAUUUGCCAGAUUUCAUAAAAAUGCGGCAAUUGCUAACAUGAUUCGGACAGACUUUAAGCAUAGAUAUGAGUGAGAAACUCUCAUCGUAGUCAACACCUUGAACUUGUCGAAAACCUGUUGUAACAAUUCGAGCUUUGUAGAUAGUAACACUACUAUCAGCGUCCAUCUUCCUCUUGAAGAUCCAUUUAAUCUCAAUGGCUUGCCGAUCGUCGGGCAAGUCAAUCAAAGUCCAUACUUUGUUCUCAUACAUGGAUCCCAUCUCCGAUUUCAUGGCCUCAAGCCAUUUCGCGGAAUCUGGGCUCAUCAUCGCUUCCUCAUAGUUCGUAGGUUCGUCAUGGUCAAGUAACAUGACCUUGAGAAUAGGAUUACCGUACCACUCUGGUGCGGAACGUACUCUGGUUGACCUACGAGGUUCGGUAGUAACUUGAUCUAAAGUUUCAUGAUCAUCAUCAUUAACUUCCUCACUAAUUGGUGUAGGCAUCACUGGAACUGAUUUCUGUGAUGAACUACUCUCCAACUUGAGAGAAGGUACAACUACCUCAUCAAGUUCUACUUUCCUCCCACUCACUUCUUUUGAGAGAAACUCCUUCUCUAGAAAGGAUCCAUUCUUAGCAACAAAUGUCUUGCCUUUGGAUCAGUGAUAGAAGGUGUACCCAAUAGUUUCUUUUUGGGUAUCCUAUGAAGACACACUUCUUCGAUUUGGGUUCGAGCUUAUCAGGUUGAAGCUUUUUCACAUAAGCAUCGCAGCCCCAAAUUUUAAGAAACGACGGCUUAGGUUUCUUGCCAAACCACAAAACGAUAGCGGUAAAUCAGUAAGAGACAUCAUAGAUCGCACCAUAUCUAAUAAAGUGCGGUUACGACGUUCGGACACACCAUUACGCUGUGGUGUUCCAGGUGGCGUGAGUUGCGAAACUAUUCUGCAUUGUUUCAAAUGAAGACCAAACUCGUAACUCAAAUAUUCACCUCCACGAUCAGGUCGUAGAAACUUUAUUUUCUUGUUACGAUGAUUUUCCACUUCACUCUGAAAUUCUUUGAACUUUUCAAAUGUUUCGGACUUAUGUUUCAUCAAGAAGAUAUACUUAUAUCUGCUCAAAUCAUCUGUGAAGGUCAGAAAAUAACGAUACCUGCCACAAGCCUCAACACUCAUCGGACCGCAUACAUCAGUAUGUAUUAUUUCCAAUAAGUCAGUGGCUCGCUCCAUUGUUCCGGAGAACGGAGUCUUAGUCAUCUUGCCCAUGAGGCAUGGUUCGCAAGCAUCAAGUGACUCCAAAAGCCCAUCAGUAUGGAUUUUCUUCAUGCGCUUUACACCAAUAUGACCUAAACGGCAGUGCCACAAACAUGUUGCACUAUCAUUAUUAACUUUGCAUCUUUUGGCAUCAAUAUUAUCAAUAUGUGUAUCACCGCAAUCGACAUUCAGUAAACCAUUUACAUUGGAUGUAAGACCAUAGAAGGUUUUAUUCAUGUAAAUGGAACAACAAUUAUUCUCUGACUUAAAUGAAUAAUUGUAUCACAAUAAACAUGAUCCAAUCAUACUCAUGCUCAACGCAAACACCAAAUAACAUUUAUUUAAAUCCAAUACUAAUCCCGAAGGUAGAGGGAGUAUGCGAUGGUGAUCUUAUCAACCUUGGAAUCACUUCCAACAUACAUCGUUACCACGCCCUUAACUAGUCUCUGUUCAUUUUGUAACUCCUGUAACUCCUGUUUCAAGUUACUAAUCGUAGCAACUGAACCGGUAUCAAAUACCCAGGGGCUACUAUGAAUACUAGUAAAGUACACAUCAAUAACAUGUAUAUCAUAUAUACUUUUGUUCACUUUGCCAUCCUUCUUAUCCAUCGAGUAUUUGGGGCAGUUCCGCUUCCAGUGAUCAUUUCCUUUGUAGUAGAAGCACUCAGUUUCAGGCUUGGGUCUAGCUUUGGGCUUCUUCAUGGGAGUGGAAACUUGCUUGUCAUUCUUCUUGAAGUUCCCUUUCUUUCCCUUGCCCUUUUACUUGAAACUAGUGGUCUUGUCAACCAUCAACACUUGAUGCUUUUCUUGAUUUCUACUUCGCCGAUUUCAGCAUCGCGAAGAGCUCGGGGAACCGUUUUCGUCAUCCCUUGCAUAUUAUAGUUCAUCACGAACUUCCAGUAACUUGGUGAUAGUCACUAGAGAACUCUGUCAAUCACUAUCUUAUCUGGAAGAUUAACUCCCACUUGAUUCAAGCAAUUGUAUUACUCAGACAUUCUGAGCACAUGCUCACUGGUUGAGCUAUUCUCCUCCAUCUUGUAGGCAAAAUACUUGUCAGAGGUCUCAUACCUCUCGACUCAGGCAUGAGUCUGAAAUACCAAUUUUAACUCUUGGAACAUCUCAUAUGCUCCGUGACGUUUCAAAACAUUUUUGAAGUCCCGGUUCUAAGCCGUAAAGCAUGGUGCACUAAACUAUCAAGUAGUCAUCAUACUGAGCUUGCCAAACGUUCAUAACGUCUGCAUCUGCUCUUGCAAGGUCCGUCACCUAGCGGUACAUCAAGGACAUAAUACUUCUGUGCAGCAAUGAGGAUAAUCCUCGGAUCACAGAGCUAGUCCGCAUCAUUGCUACUAACAUCUUUCAACUUAUUUUUCUCUAGGAACAUAUCAAAAAUAAACGGGGAGCUACAUCGCGAGCUAUUGAUCUACAACAACAUAGACAUGCAAAAUACUAUCAGGUACUAAGUUCAUGAUAAAUUAAAGUUCAAUUAAUCAUAUUACUUAAGAACUCCCAGUUAGAUAGACAUCCCCCUAAUCAUCUACGUGAUCACGUGAUCCAUAUCAACUAAACCAUGUCCGAUCAUCACGUGAGAUGGAGUAGUUUUCAAUGGUGAACAUCACUACGUUGAUCAUAUCUACUAUAUGAUUCACGCUCGACCUCUCGGUCUCAGUGUUCCGAGGCCAUAUCUGCAUAUGCUAGGCUCGUCAAGUUUAACCCGAGUAUUCUGCGUGUGCAAAACUGGCAUGCACCCGUUGUAUGUGAACGUAGAGCUUAUCACACCCGAUCAUCACCUGGUGUCUCGGCAUGACGAACUGUAGCAACGGUGCAUACCGAGGGAGAACACUUAUACCUUGAAAUUUAGUGAGAGAUCAUCUUAUAAUGCUACCGUCGUACUAAGCAAAAUAAGAUGCAUAAAAGAUAAACAUCACAUGCAAUCAAAAUAAGUGAUAUGAUAUGGCCAUCAUCAUCUUGUGCCUUUGAUCUCCAUCUCCAAAGCACCGUCAUGAUCACCAUUGUCACCGGCUUGACACCUUGAUCUCCAUCGAAGCAUCGUUGUCAUCUUGCCAACUAUUGCUUCUACGACUAUCGCUACCGCUUAGUGAUAAAGUAAAGUAAUUACAUGGCGAUUGCAUUUCAUACAAUAAAGUGACAACCAUAUGGCUCCUGCUAGUUGCCGAUAACUGUUACAAAACAUGAUCAUCUCAUACAACAAAUUAUAUAUCAUCACGUCUUGACCAUAUCACAUCACAGCAAGCCCUGCAAAAACAAGUUAGACGUCCUCUACUUUGUUGUUGCAAGUUUUACAUGGCUGCUACGGGCUUCUAGCAAGAACCGUUCUUACCUACGCAUCAAAACCACAACGAUUUUUUGUCAAGUGUUUUGUUUUAACCUUCAACAAUGAAUGGGCGUAGUCAAACUCGAUUCAACUAAAGUUGGAGAAACAGACACCCACUAGCCACCUGUGUGUGAAGCACGGCGGUAGAACCAGUCUCAUGAACGCGGUCAUGUAAUGUCGGUCUGGGCUGCUUCAUCCAACAAUACCGCCGAAUCAAAGUAUGACAUGCUGGUAAGCAGUAUGACUAUUAUCGCCCACAACUCUUUGUGUUCUACUCGUGCAUAUAACAUCUACGCAUAGACCUGGCUUGGAUGCCACUGUUGGGUAACGUAGUAUUUCAAAGAAAUUCCUACGAUCAUGCAAGAUCUAUCUAGGAGAAGCAUAGCAAUGAGCGGGGAGAGUGUGUCCACGUACCCUCGUAGACCGAAAGCGGAAGCGUUUAGUAACACGGUUGAUGUAGUCGAACGUCUUCGUGAUCCAACCGAUCCAAGUACCGAACGCACGGCACCUCCGCGAUCUGCACACGUUCAGCUCGGUGACGUCCCUCGAACUCUUGAUCUAGUUGAGGCCGAGGGAGAGUUCCAUCAGCACGACGGCGUGGUGACGGUGAUGAUGAAGUUACCGGCGCAGGGCUUUGCCUAAGCACUACGACGAUAUGACCGAGGUGUGUAACUGUGGAGGGGGGCACCGCACACGGCUAAGAGAUUGUCUGUUGUGCCUUUGGGGUGCCCCCUGCCCUUGUAUAUAAAGGAGGGGAGGAGGUGGCCGACCAACAAGGGGCGCGCCAGGGAGGGGGGGUCCUACUAGGACUCCAGUCCUAGUAGGAUUCGGCCCCACCCUUUUUUCCUUCUACCGGAGGGGGAAAAGGGGAAGGAGAGGGAGUAGGAGAAGGAAAGGGGGGUGGCGCCCCCCUUGCCAAGUCCAAUUCGGCCUCCUCCCUUGUGGGGGGCGCACCAGCCCCUUGUGGGCUGGCUAGCCUCCCUACUAUGGCCCAUAAGGCCCAUAUCUUUCCCCGAGGGGUUCCGGUAACCUCCCGGUACUCCGAAAAAAUGCCCGAACCACUCGGAACCAUUCCGAUGUCCAAGUGCAAUCUUCCAAUAUAUGAAUCUUUACCUCUCGACCAUUUCGAGACUCCUCGUCAUGUCCGUGAUCUCAUCCGGGACUCCGAAUAAACUUCGGUUCAUCAAAUCACAUAACUCAUAAUACAAAUCGUCAUCGAACGUUAAGCGUGCGGACACUACGGGUUCGAGAACUAUGUAGACAUGAUCGAGACACAUCUCCAGUCAAUAACCAAUAGCGGAACUUGGAUGCUCAUAUUGGCUCCUACAUAUUCUAUGAAGAUCUUUAUCGGUCAAACCGCAUAACAACAUACGUUGUUCCCUUUGUCAUCGGUAUGUUACUUGCCCGAGAUUCGAUCGUCGGUAUCAUCAUACCUAGUUCAAUCUUGUUACCGGCAAAUCUCUUUACUCAUUCCGUAAUGCAUCAUCCCGUGACUAACUCAUUAGUCACAUUGCUUGCAAGGCUUAUAGUGAUGUGCAUUACCGAGAGGGCCCAGAGAUACCUCUCCAAUACACGAAGUGACAAAUCCUAAUCUCGAUCUAUGCCAACCCAAAAAAACCCUUCGGAGACAUCUGUAGACCAUCUUUAUAAUCACCCAGUUACGUCGUGACGUUUGAUAGCACACAAGGUGUUCCUCCGGUAUUCGAGAGUUGCAUAAUCUCAUAGUCAGAUGAACAUGUAUAAGUCAUGAUGAAAGCAAUAGCAAUAAAACCAAACGAUCAUUAUGCUAAGCUAACGGAUGGGUCUUGUCCAUCACAUCAUUCUCUAAUGAUGUGAUAUUGCUCAUCAAAUGACAACACAUGUCUAUGGUCAGGAAACAUAACAAUCUUUGAUUAACGAGCUAGUCAAGUAGAGGCAUACUAGGAACACUCUGUUUUGUCUAUGUAUUCACACAUGUACUAAGUUUCCAGUUAAUACAAUUCUAGCAUGAAUAAUAAACAUUUAUCAUGAUAUAAGGAAAUAUAAAUAACAACUUUAUUAUUUCCUCUAGGGCAUAUCAUGUAGAGCACCUUUAUAAUCACCUGUUAUGAAGUGACGUUUGAUACCCACAAAGAACUCUUCCAAUAUUCGGGAGUGGCACGAUCUCAUGGUCUAAGGAAUAGAUACUUGACAUGAAGAAAGUUGUAGCAGUUAAACUAAGCGAUACGAUCAGAUGCUAAGCUUAUGGUUGGCUCUGUCCAUCACAUCAUUUCCUAAUGAUGUGAUUCAGUUAUUAAAUGACAGCUCAUGUCUACGGUUAGGAAACCUUAACCAUCUUUAAUCAACGAGCUAGUCUAGUAGAGGCUCAUUAGGGACACGGUGUCUGUAUAUGUAUCCACAAAUAUAUUUAAGUUUCCGGUCAAUACAAUUAUAGCAUGGAUAAUAAACAUUUAUCAUGAACAAGAAAAAAAUGAUAAUAGUUACUUUAUUGUUGCCUCUAGGACAUAUUUUCAGCAAUGCAUGUUAGUCAUCCUUCACAUUUUUGUUUGAAACAACAUUUAUAACUGCAAUUCAAGUUUUUUCUAUUUUAGACACUUUUUAUUGAUUUUCAAGCUUAUAUUUUCUUUCCAUUAGAUUUAGUUGUUUUUAGCAACUAUUUAUUCAUUUUUUAACAAAGCUACCGCAGCAACACGUGGGCAUCAUAUGGUUUCAACAAAGAGGCUUGACCGAACAGAAUUAGAGAGAGGAAAUGGGAAUUAAGGAGUUAUAAGAUAUCAAGUCAAAAAGAAAAGUCACCUAUUUGCUUGGAGGGAAUGAGAAUUCACGAAGGAUCGGGCAUGGGAGUUUAGCUCCCACCAUUUUUUUUUAUAGCUUACCACAUAUGCCGUGUGGUAGCUCCAACCAUUUUAUUAACUUUUUUUGAGAGUCCGCCAAAGGCGUACCUUAUAGAAGAGAGAAAAUAUGUACAAGAGAUUACAAAGGUGAGAUCACCACAGUCCGGCGAUCCCAACCACCACCUCCACUCCGGCUCACUCUAGGCAACUACUCACAAUAUCGGUGUACUCCUGUCCCUCUUGCAAGUGCCCUUAGUCUGAUUUACUCAAAGAUUAGCUCGACGGUGGCAUACACAUUUUGAAUGUUACCUGAAUGGAAGACCCGACAGUUCCUUUGCUUUCAUAGCGUCCAACAAAUUAGCAUGACGAAUGAGUCGAAGACCUUUCGUUCCUCCUUCUGGAUUUGCUUGCGCCGACUUGCCCACCAAUCUUGCAGCUUGUCCUGAUGUGAAGGUAGCAUGCCCAGAUCUAUGUCCACCUUCGAGAAGCACAAAUACCACACAUGCCUUGCAAAUACACAUUGCAACAACAGAUGAUCAACUGUGUCUUCAUCCUGAUCACAGAAGAAGCAAGGUGAAGCCUCCUCUUGUAACGCAUGCCUGAGCCUUCGAUCCUAGGUCCAAAGUCUGUAUUGUACCGCCAAGCACAUGAAUAUUUUGCAGGAUAGCGGGGCCCAACUCUUCCAAAUCGCAACAGUGGGCUGGAAUCGGAUCCCUCCUUCCCAUAGCAUCUUGUACGCAGAAGCUGAUGUGUAUUCCCCAACAGCGUUCCAAGCCCAAAUAGCCUUAUCUUCAUUGGCCGGCACUAAAUCUAUCUCUAUCAGCACCUCCCAAAGACGGAUGAACCACGCCAGCUCGUCAGUAGAAAAAUCACCCCAAGAUGCCAUUCGCCCAUGUUUGCGAUGUCAGCCCCUCGCUAACCAAUCUCCUAUUCACUAUCCUCAUUUUCACCUUUGCCAGUAUGGAGGGAGCAAUUUCUGCAAUUGUUGACCCGUAUACUCAUCUGUCAUUCCAAAAAACUAUCCUGUCUCCUUUUCCAACAUGCCAUUGGACCAAGCUAUUGAAAGCUGUCCUCACAUGUUUGUCCGGUGCCAGGUUUAGUCCUUGCCAUGGCCUCGAAUCAUCCAUCCUUCUCAGCCAUUCCCAGCGUAGCCGAAGAGCAAGACCAGUGUUUACUCAGGUCCAUCACCCCUAAACCGGCAGACCCGUUGCCAUGAAACUGCGCCCUUCCCUCCACUACCCCCCUCUGAUCCUGCCCAGAAGAAUGCCCUACAUCCUUGUCUAUUCUCUCCAAUGCCCAUUUGGGCGCUUCAGCGACGAUCAAGUGGUGCGUGGGCCUGGCUCUCAUAACAUGAUUCACCAAAAUCAAUCUUCCUGGUCGAGUGAUCAUGCCUCUCUGCCAUCCGGGCAGAAUUUCGAGUGCCGCAUCUACUAUUUUAUUAACAAGGUAGGGAGUUGGGAAUUGAUCUAUGGAGAACAUCUCUACUCGUCAUAACUUAACCUCUCUUCGUAUCUCAGCUCAUCCGAAUGAAUUCCCACUAAACAAACAAGGGAAUAAGCACAUCUCUCAAAUUCCCACGUCUCAAACAAGGGAUUGGAAAUUAAAUGUCACGUCCUAUAUCUAAUCUCGUCACAACUCCCUCGUCAAAAUUCUCAUUCUCCUUCAUAAAAGUUACCAAACACGAAGUCCUACGGCUGCACUAUGGCAGUAUGGCCCAAAAUCCAAGACAUCACGAAGCACAUACAUGCGACAUUGCACUUCUUAACAAGUUGGAUGUAAAGGAAAACAAAGUGUGGCUCGUGUUACAAGCCCCUUGCACAAAUCACAUAAUUCAUCACUAGCACACCGUGAACAGAAUACGUUCCACCCGCAAAAAAAGAAGAAAAAAAAGUACGUCCGAAUCUAAAAUGUUAAGAUGUCUAUUUAUAAGGGCACAAAACGAUACGUUUUAGAAUCGUCACAGAUACAGUUCACGCCAGGGUUCUUGAAUGCUUGCUGAUUUCUCAACCCCUGUCUCAAUGACAGUUUCUUUGGAGAACUCCAAGUUGAUGUGCUUGGCUACGUGAUCUCCCACGCACUGCAGCACCUGGAAGUAACAAUAGGCAGAGAGAUUAGGUGAGCAAACAGGCAUUGGAAUCACAGGUAUGUCGACAAAGUCAACUUGUAUAGAAAAUUGUCAGGGGGUAGCACAAACAAACUUAUGUAACAAACCAGACAGAAUUGCCCUAAGACGAGUUCUUUCACAGCAAACAAGCACUUUUUAGUAUAUAAUUUUCUAUUCAAUAUGAGUGGUGUGCAUUGUGGUUUGUGAAUUAUUGCUCCAUAGAAAUAUCAUGGAGUUCAAAUUCUUGUACAAUUAUAAUACCACAUAUAAAACUAAUAAACAAACCAUUAGUUGAAAUUAGAGUAAACCUUCACAAACAUCACUACACUCUUGCUUUCUAUUUGGAAACAAGAUGACAUCAGGACUUUUCCUACUCAGUAUACAACUUUUAUAUAGUUCAGCAGGUUCCAACAUUAAUGGUAGCUUCAAGGUAGCAGACCACAUGUAAGCUUUUCACGAUUGCAAUAAAUUACCAUAGCAAUUUCCCGUUUCCUUUAUUCUGUAUAAAGUACCAUUACUUUCCAUGAAACCCCAGUAAAAGAUAAUGAGAAAAUACAAAAAUGGUAAGGGAAGUUGUACCUCAAGGUCAGAGUCUGAAGAACUUUUGCCUUGGUGCUGCCCACCUGAUGUGACAAGAAGAACUGUCGGUAUCUUCAAUACCCGCACCAUUUCCAGCAAACAUUGUAUUGGUUCACCGCGUAUUUGCAAAGAUGGGGGAGGUUUAAUAAUUCCGUCAACCAACAAGUGAGUAAACUCAUUUGAUGCCCCUAUUUCAGCAGCGUGAAGUGUAGUUAACUGCCCAGUUUUUGUUGCAUUAACCAUUCCAUGGAAGCAGCCUGAUGGUCUUGUGAUGAAUGGUACAAUCAGAAUUGGCUGGAUGGAGG
This 25655-nucleotide long non-coding RNA is filed under the name Triticum aestivum (bread wheat). RNAcentral's name for it is "long non-coding RNA (TAES_LNC013357)". Lineage: Eukaryota; Viridiplantae; Streptophyta; Magnoliopsida; Poales; Poaceae. The record is from RNAcentral.